Molecule: ribosomal RNA, 2901 nt
Filed under: Escherichia coli
Lineage: Bacteria; Pseudomonadati; Pseudomonadota; Gammaproteobacteria; Enterobacterales; Enterobacteriaceae
Description: 23S ribosomal RNA
Rfam family: Bacterial large subunit ribosomal RNA
Source: RNAcentral
UUAAGCGACUAAGCGUACACGGUGGAUGCCCUGGCAGUCAGAGGCGAUGAAGGACGUGCUAAUCUGCGAUAAGCGUCGGUAAGGUGAUAUGAACCGUUAUAACCGGCGAUUUCCGAAUGGGGAAACCCAGUGUGAUUCGUCACACUAUCAUUAACUGAAUCCAUAGGUUAAUGAGGCGAACCGGGGGAACUGAAACAUCUAAGUACCCCGAGGAAAAGAAAUCAACCGAGAUUCCCCCAGUAGCGGCGAGCGAACGGGGAGCAGCCCAGAGCCUGAAUCAGUGUGUGUGUUAGUGGAAGCGUCUGGAAAGGCGCGCGAUACAGGGUGACAGCCCCGUACACAAAAAUGCACAUACUGUGAGCUCGAUGAGUAGGGCGGGACACGUGGUAUCCUGUCUGAAUAUGGGGGGACCAUCCUCCAAGGCUAAAUACUCCUGACUGACCGAUAGUGAACCAGUACCGUGAGGGAAAGGCGAAAAGAACCCCGGCGAGGGGAGUGAAAAAGAACCUGAAACCGUGUACGUACAAGCAGUGGGAGCCUCUUUUAUGGGGUGACUGCGUACCUUUUGUAUAAUGGGUCAGCGACUUAUAUUCUGUAGCAAGGUUAACCGAAUAGGGGAGCCGAAGGGAAACCGAGUCUUAACUGGGCGUUAAGUUGCAGGGUAUAGACCUGAAACCCGGUGAUCUAGCCAUGGGCAGGUUGAAGGUUGGGUAACACUAACUGGAGGACCGAACCGACUAAUGUUGAAAAAUUAGCGGAUGACUUGUGGCUGGGGGUGAAAGGCCAAUCAAACCGGGAGAUAGCUGGUUCUCCCCGAAAGCUAUUUAGGUAGCGCCUCGUGAACUCAUCUCCGGGGGUAGAGCACUGUUUCGGCAAGGGGGUCAUCCCGACUUACCAACCCGAUGCAAACUGCGAAUACCGGAGAAUGUUAUCACGGGAGACACACGGCGGGUGCUAACGUCCGUCGUGAAGAGGGAAACAACCCAGACCGCCAGCUAAGGUCCCAAAGUCAUGGUUAAGUGGGAAACGAUGUGGGAAGGCCCAGACAGCCAGGAUGUUGGCUUAGAAGCAGCCAUCAUUUAAAGAAAGCGUAAUAGCUCACUGGUCGAGUCGGCCUGCGCGGAAGAUGUAACGGGGCUAAACCAUGCACCGAAGCUGCGGCAGCGACACUAUGUGUUGUUGGGUAGGGGAGCGUUCUGUAAGCCUGUGAAGGUGUGCUGUGAGGCAUGCUGGAGGUAUCAGAAGUGCGAAUGCUGACAUAAGUAACGAUAAAGCGGGUGAAAAGCCCGCUCGCCGGAAGACCAAGGGUUCCUGUCCAACGUUAAUCGGGGCAGGGUGAGUCGACCCCUAAGGCGAGGCCGAAAGGCGUAGUCGAUGGGAAACAGGUUAAUAUUCCUGUACUUGGUGUUACUGCGAAGGGGGGACGGAGAAGGCUAUGUUGGCCGGGCGACGGUUGUCCCGGUUUAAGCGUGUAGGCUGGUUUUCCAGGCAAAUCCGGAAAAUCAAGGCUGAGGCGUGAUGACGAGGCACUACGGUGCUGAAGCAACAAAUGCCCUGCUUCCAGGAAAAGCCUCUAAGCAUCAGGUAACAUCAAAUCGUACCCCAAACCGACACAGGUGGUCAGGUAGAGAAUACCAAGGCGCUUGAGAGAACUCGGGUGAAGGAACUAGGCAAAAUGGUGCCGUAACUUCGGGAGAAGGCACGCUGAUAUGUAGGUGAAGUCCCUCGCGGAUGGAGCUGAAAUCAGUCGAAGAUACCAGCUGGCUGCAACUGUUUAUUAAAAACACAGCACUGUGCAAACACGAAAGUGGACGUAUACGGUGUGACGCCUGCCCGGUGCCGGAAGGUUAAUUGAUGGGGUCAGCGCAAGCGAAGCUCUUGAUCGAAGCCCCGGUAAACGGCGGCCGUAACUAUAACGGUCCUAAGGUAGCGAAAUUCCUUGUCGGGUAAGUUCCGACCUGCACGAAUGGCGUAAUGAUGGCCAGGCUGUCUCCACCCGAGACUCAGUGAAAUUGAACUCGCUGUGAAGAUGCAGUGUACCCGCGGCAAGACGGAAAGACCCCGUGAACCUUUACUAUAGCUUGACACUGAACAUUGAGCCUUGAUGUGUAGGAUAGGUGGGAGGCUUAGAAGUGUGGACGCCAGUCUGCAUGGAGCCGACCUUGAAAUACCACCCUUUAAUGUUUGAUGUUCUAACGUUGACCCGUGAUCCGGGUUGCGGACAGUGUCUGGUGGGUAGUUUGACUGGGGCGGUCUCCUCCUAAAGAGUAACGGAGGAGCACGAAGGUUGGCUAAUCCUGGUCGGACAUCAGGAGGUUAGUGCAAUGGCAUAAGCCAGCUUGACUGCGAGCGUGACGGCGCGAGCAGGUGCGAAAGCAGGUCAUAGUGAUCCGGUGGUUCUGAAUGGAAGGGCCAUCGCUCAACGGAUAAAAGGUACUCCGGGGAUAACAGGCUGAUACCGCCCAAGAGUUCAUAUCGACGGCGGUGUUUGGCACCUCGAUGUCGGCUCAUCACAUCCUGGGGCUGAAGUAGGUCCCAAGGGUAUGGCUGUUCGCCAUUUAAAGUGGUACGCGAGCUGGGUUUAGAACGUCGUGAGACAGUUCGGUCCCUAUCUGCCGUGGGCGCUGGAGAACUGAGGGGGGCUGCUCCUAGUACGAGAGGACCGGAGUGGACGCAUCACUGGUGUUCGGGUUGUCAUGCCAAUGGCACUGCCCGGUAGCUAAAUGCGGAAGAGAUAAGUGCUGAAAGCAUCUAAGCACGAAACUUGCCCCGAGAUGAGUUCUCCCUGACCCUUUAAGGGUCCUGAAGGAACGUUGAAGACGACGACGUUGAUAGGCCGGGUGUGUAAGCGCAGCGAUGCGUUGAGCUAACCGGUACUAAUGAACCGUGAGGCUUAACCUU